UCCUGGGUGGCGCAGAUGGUUAACGUGCUCAACUGCUAACUGAGAGGCUGGAGGUUCUAAUCCACCCAUAGGCA
This 74-nucleotide transfer RNA is filed under the name Loxodonta africana (African savanna elephant). It matches the Rfam family "tRNA". From Rfam's summary of the family: Transfer RNA (tRNA) molecules are approximately 80 nucleotides in length. Their secondary structure includes four short double-helical elements and three loops (D, anti-codon, and T loops). Further hydrogen bonds mediate the characteristic L-shaped molecular structure. tRNAs have two regions of fundamental functional importance: the anti-codon, which is responsible for specific mRNA codon recognition, and the 3' end, to which the tRNAs corresponding amino acid is attached (by aminoacyl-tRNA synthetases). tRNAs cope with the degeneracy of the genetic code in two manners: having more than one tRNA (with a specific anti-codon) for a particular amino acid; and 'wobble' base-pairing, i.e. permitting non-standard base-pairing at the 3rd anti-codon position. Lineage: Eukaryota; Metazoa; Chordata; Mammalia; Proboscidea; Elephantidae. The record is from Rfam by way of RNAcentral.